GACGAACGCUGGCGGCGUGCUUAACACAUGCAAGUCGAACGGAAAGGCCCUGCUUUUGUGGGGUGCUCGAGUGGCGAACGGGUGAGUAACACGUGAGUAACCUGCCCUUGACUUUGGGAUAACUUCAGGAAACUGGGGCUAAUACCGGCUAGGAGCUCCUGCUGCAUGGUGGGGGUUGGAAAGUUUCGGCGGUUGGGGAUGGACUCGGGGCUUAUCAGCUUGUGGGUGGGGUAGUGGCUUACCAAGGCUUUGACGGGUAGCCGGCCUGGGAGGGUGACCGGCCACAUUGGGACUGAGGUACGGCCCAGACUGCUACGGGAGGCAGCAGUGGGGAAUAUUACACAAUGGGCGGAAGCCUGAUGCAGCAACGCCGCGUGCGGGAUGACGGCCUUCGGGUUGUAAACCGCUUUCGCCUGUGACGAAGCGUGAGUGACGGUAAUGGGUAAAGAAGCACCGGCUAACUACGUG
Molecule: ribosomal RNA, 468 nt
Filed under: uncultured bacterium
Lineage: Bacteria
Description: partial 16S ribosomal RNA
Rfam family: Bacterial small subunit ribosomal RNA
Source: RNAcentral